Molecule: long non-coding RNA, 1504 nt
Filed under: Homo sapiens (human)
Lineage: Eukaryota; Metazoa; Chordata; Mammalia; Primates; Hominidae
Description: HSALNT0305127
Source: RNAcentral
GCGGAGGGUUGGAGCUCGUGAGCGAAGGCGCUGAAUCCUGAGGGACUAAUCUGUCACGGCGGCGCCCUACCUCUUCUUCCGGCCCGGCUCGUCAUGGCGGCGCCCUGAGUAGCCACUUCCGCCCUCUUCUGGCUAAAUUGCUUCAUCCCUAUUUCCGGCUUGCCAUGGCAGCGCUCGGGGUUUAACGGAAGUAAGCAAUGGAAAGUAUGGUGGUGCCUCGGGUCCAAAGAGAAUGCGCCGCUGAGUUGCGCGGCACCUGACGGGAUUGAGCCUCAGACACAAGCGCUCCAAAUCUCCGACUGUAGCUGGUGGGAAGCGCCUGCUGUUGCUGCAGCGUCUCAACAUGUUGUUCCCAUUUUCGUUGGGUGCUGUAGCGGUAGGCUGUUGGGCUCAGGGAUAGGGGGCCUGAUUCCUAACGCCGCGCUGCCACCAUCGGCCUUGCGCAGACGCUGAUAAUCCCCCUGGCACCCAGGUUCAUGCGAGCGCUUGGAACAGGAGGGAAGAGGGAGUCAAACCAAGAGCCGAACUAAUUCGGCUUGGGCCUGCCAUUUACCCAGCCUGGGACCCAGACGUUUCCCCAUCCCUUAGCGUACGCCAGGACAGACAUGGCGUUUAAUCCUGACUCCAUGAGACUAUCAAGCUAGUUACUUCCUCUCUUUGUAAUUAAUUCCUCCUAAUGUAGCAACAUUUCCCCCUUCCUUCUCAUCUGUCUUAAAAGUGUGAGGUUAGACCUGGGCGUGAGUUUCCCCACAUAAGAGACUGGAUAUCCCCUGGUCAGAGAACUGAGCAUCAGUCCUGCCGUUUCGUUUGCAGAUCUUUCAAGACUCUAGUCAAAAUGAGCAGAACAUUUUGCAGUUAAUCAUAGAGUUGAAGAUGAACGAGAAGAUGAACGAGAGCUACUUGAUUGUGAACUAGUAACGACCACUUGGAGUCGCAGUGUGUCUGUAAAAUGAUGAUGACAGUGACAUCAUAGAGGACAUAGUGCAAGUGAACAGUUUGAUACUGAGCUUGGAGCCUCAGUAGUUCUGGAUAAGUGAGAGCUGUACGGGAGGUUGUAACCAUGAGCUACCCUGGUUGGCAGUUGACAUCCGAGGACCAGCACUGGUCAUCGCACAGAAAGAAAACUUUACACCUUGAGAUCCCUCCAUUCUUCUUAAACUUCCAAGUGUAUGUUUGAUGGGAGAAGAGGGGAAGGGAUCAACAUUUAAAGGCUCUGGAAGGAGUCAGAUAACUGUUUUUGGCUUCAAAUGUAGAAUGAAUCCCUAGAUUUUCCUCUACUGAGAGAAUGAAAUCUUAACCCAUUCCGUUCCCUUGUUGGUACUCAGAAACGGAUACCCCAAAGAUGCAUUUUGACAUGCUGAAAGGCCUUAGAAGCUGCCUUAGAAGAUCUGUCUAACCUUGUCUUGUUGGUGUGUGGAAGUGGGAAUGCCCACAGGUGCACAGGGAGGGAGUUUCUGAAAUUAUCUGACCGAGAAAGCAAAAAAAAAAAAUCAAUUGUCUUAAA